This 253-nucleotide ribosomal RNA is filed under the name uncultured bacterium. RNAcentral's name for it is "partial 16S ribosomal RNA". It matches the Rfam family "Bacterial small subunit ribosomal RNA", at positions 524 to 776 of the family's 1533-position model. The record is from RNAcentral.
UACGUAGGGUGCAAGCGUUACUCGGAAUUACUGGGCGUAAAGCGUGCGCAGGCGGCUAUGCAAGACAGAUGUGAAAUCCCCGGGCUCAACCUGGGAACUGCAUUUGUGACUGCAUUGCUGGAGUGCGGCAGAGGGGGAUGGAAUUCCGCGUGUAGCAGUGAAAUGCGUAGAUAUGCGGAGGAACACCGAUGGCGAAGGCAAUCCCCUGGGCCUGCACUGACGCUCAUGCACGAAAGCGUGGGGAGCAAACAGG